Molecule: long non-coding RNA, 3095 nt
Filed under: Salmo salar (Atlantic salmon)
Lineage: Eukaryota; Metazoa; Chordata; Actinopteri; Salmoniformes; Salmonidae
Description: lncRNA (ENSSSAG00000107610.1)
Source: RNAcentral
UUUAUCUCCUGUUCUUAAACAUGUCAACAUUUGAGGGUACAAAAUGCACACUGCAUCAACUACAGCUACUAAAGACACAAUAGAAAAAAACAUAGUAAAAUGUUUAACCUUUAAUACCUUGGCUAUCUAGUUGUCAUGAAACGAUCAGAGAUCAGAGACUUUUACAUGAAGCGGAAGUAUCACAGUAGAGAGAAUACAGUUCUAUAUCAGUAAAAUACAUCCCUUCAGCGUGUUUUUCCCAGGCUACAGAGAGUUAGUGGUGAAAGGCUGCCACUUGUAGACCAGGACAUUUACAACCUCCAUUAUAGAGAAGAACAGUGCUUUAGUUAUACAUGGAUGGAUCCUCCAUUCCGGUUCUCACGGUUUCCAACCACAUUCAAUCCACAACACAGGGCCUGCGGUAACCAAGAUAAAAAGGGCUCAAUUCAGAGAUAUAGUCUGUUUGGAUGGAUCACGCUGCCUGAGGAGGGUGCUGCUUGUUCCAUGUAUUAAAAAAAACUUUCAAAACAGAAUCUUCAAACAUACCAAUCUGUGUCUUGCUCUGUUGUGGAAAAACGGAAAAGAAACCUUGAUGGAAAUGUUUCAUUUUUCCACCAACAGCUGCUAAACAAAAAACCCAGAUCUCUUCAUGUGCAUCUUUAGUUUCUUUGUUUAUUUGAUAAACCCUAUUUGCAUUUGGAAACAGCUUGGGUAAUUUGACUGGGGACUGACAAUUUGCCUGUAAGGAGAUAACUGUAGUUCAAACAUUUUCUCUCUGUCUCUUCUUUACUCUGCACUUGGCAUUCAUCAGUGUGUGUGUGUGUGUGGGGUGUGUGGGUUUAUUGUGAACAUCCAUGUGUUCUAGUGUCCUAUGUGUCAGCCUGUGUAUGAAGAUCUAUGAACAUGUGGUGUGUUUGUGUGACAGAGAGAAAGAGAAAGAGAGAGAACUCCUCAUUGCUGCAUGGACUUAAUGUGAGACAGACGAGAUGAAAGUACCACAGCAGCCCAUCAUUGGCUACCACUAUCACCAUAGAAACAGGCGUGACCUUAUAAAGGUCAUGGGGAGUUUGGGACAUCCAUACCCCAGUCAGCUGACAGGUCUGUUUUUGUGUAUCCCUUGUGGCUCAGUUGAUAGAGCAUGGCACUUCAACACUAGGGUGGUAGGUUCAAUUCCCAAGGGGGACUAUUAUACAAAAUGUAUCCUCCUGUAAGAGCGCCUGCCAAAAUGUAAAUAUCUGUGCGUUCCCUUGAAAACGUCUAUGUUGUGUAUUUUAACCCUUCAGAAUAAAAGCCUGAACUCUAUGGAAAGAUGAGGCUGUCAUGAACACGAUGGUGCUCUCCUACCUCCACAAGCCCCACCGGGACUCGUUUGUAUUACUAUUUGAUUCUUCUCACUUUUGUUUGUAUUUUCACUUGCUUUGGCAAUGUAAACAUAUGUUUCCCAUGCCAAUAACUGAAUGCCAUUGAAUUGAAAUUGAAUUGAGUCUCAGUGCUCAGUGAGAGAGAGAGCCUCAUGGACAAACUCAAUGGCAGACCUGAACAGCUGGAGAUCCACUCAGAGUCGGUCUCUUAAUGCAGUCCUGCCACACAUAAUGAACUGAGGCCCUGCACAGCAGGAUACAUUUUACUCAGGAGCACACAAGUAGUCUCGGCUAGCUAGCUAGCAUCUACUGCUACCUCCUAGCCACACAACAGAGCAACAACAAACCCACACUCAUCUCAACAAUCUGCCUUGAAGUCUGUUGAGUGUCUGUUAUGACAAUGUGCUGAUAUAAAAGUUAUUUGCGGAUCUUCCUUUCAUGGUUUUUAAAACAACAAUUGGCCAAUAAAGCAGCAGAUCAAAAGCUAACAGCCUACGCUAGCUCCACGCAUCACCUCAUUCUCCUCAGGGGGAGAUUUGGCACCUCACUGCAAAGCCCGGCAACACAAUUACCUCAGCCUAAACCUGUCAGCAGACUAUUACAGCAGCUCGUGUGUGUGUUCGUGUGUGUGUGUCAACACACCAUUACAGCCCAAGCCACCUAUUAUGGGGAUGGGGAAUGGAGUCCAAAGCCAUUGUAGUGAAAAGGUGUUGUCAGAUAUAGGCUGGCGGAAUGUGGCUACAGGGUAUUUGAUGGUGGAGGUUGGCCUAUAGAGCAAUCAUGGCUUCUAAAAACAUGGUUAAAUCUGUAGGUUCUCCUCAGCACCCUUAAUACUGAACACUGAUGGUAUGGUGCAGCUGAUGGAAGGUUCUGGAAGAACACUGAUGGUAUGGUGCUGCUGAUGGAAGGAUAUGGAAGAACACUGAUGGUAUGGUGCAGCUGAUGGAAGGUUCUGGAAGAACACUGAUGGUAUGGUGCUGCUGAUGGAAGGAUAUGGAAGAACACUGAUGGUAUGGUGCUGCUGAUGGAAGGAUCUGAUCUGGAAGAACACUGAUGGUAUGGUGCUGCUGAUGGAAGGAUAUGGAAGAACACUGAUGGUAUGGUGCUGCUGAUGGAAGGAUCUGAUCUGGAAGAACACUGAUGGUAUGGUGCUGGAAGGUUCUGGAAGAACACUGAUGGUAUGGUGCUGGAAGGUUCUGGAAGGACACUGAUGGUAUGGUGCUGCUGAUGGAAGGAUCUGGAAAAAGAUCAACGGAAAAACAUAAACAGAGGUUACAGUAGAUUAGAACUGAAAGAUGGUGCUCCAUCAUGCAAACAUUCUGAUGGAAAUAACAUUCUGAAGAUGGAUGGUGAUUGACCUUUCACCUUUAUUCCAGGGAUGUGUACAACUUUAGCCUAAAACAUAUAGUAACCUUGUCCUUACUGUAACAUCCACAUAAUACUUUUUGUUUUCCACUAGAGUGACUCCACAUUAUAUUCUGCAUUGUUUAAAACGCACUGAUUAAACCUCCUGUCCACACAACCUUACAGGUAGACAUGCAACAUAUUCCAUCCAGCCUGUAUGGUACAGCCUGAAAUAUAAACGUGGAGGUCCCCUCCCCUGUUCAAUGGAGCAUUCCAGGCAGCCCCUUUCCUCCCAAAUAGCCCUGAUGAGGGAGGCCCCCAGGGAGGAAGGGAUGCUAUGUGAAUCACCCCCAGUCAGCUGCUCUCUCCAUGGGCUCGGUUGGUCAUACCUGGGGGCCUCUGAAUGGAGCC